Molecule: ribosomal RNA, 253 nt
Filed under: uncultured bacterium
Lineage: Bacteria
Description: partial 16S ribosomal RNA
Rfam family: Bacterial small subunit ribosomal RNA
Source: RNAcentral
UACGUAGGGACCAAGCGUUGUUCGGAAUUACUGGGCGUAAAGCGCACGUAGGCGGAUUUGUAAGUCAGGGGUGAAAUCCCGGGGCUCAACCUCGGAACUGCCUUUGAUACUGCAAAUCUCGAGUCCGGAAGAGGUGAGUGGAAUUCCUAGUGUAGAGGUGAAAUUCGUAGAUAUUAGGAAGAACACCAGUGGCGAAGGCGGCUCACUGGUCCGGUACUGACGCUGAGGUGCGAAAGCGUGGGGAGCAAACAGG